UAUAUUUGGUAAGCGACGUAUCGCUCCGAAAUGGCUCCUGCAUUUCGGCUCAAAAUUCUUAGUUAUUAGAUUCACUAUUAUACCAUCAAAGAAAAAAAGCCUGCCUCAUUCAAAAUGGUAAUUAGAAGAAAGGAAUGCUUGUGUACACACACUUUACUACAGUAAAGUUAGAUAUGAAACUAAUUGUAUCAAACUAAACACAUCGGGAUAUAAGUUACUGAUCACCACCAGAGAAAGGCCAAAAAUGCGACAAAAAAAACGACCUCAUCAAAAGACCUACAACUAUAUGAAAAUUGAAUGGGUUAAACCCAAAAUACCAAAAAAAAUUCAAAACAGAAAAACCAUGCAACAAUUGAAAAAAAAAAAAUUAUUCAAGUUUGUUGAAAAAAGUUGAAGAAUGGAACGUUCCCGUUGGAAGUUCCACAUUUCUUGUUCAUUUUCCCCCGGAUUUUCAGGGGUUUUACGUUUAAUUAUAAGCUAGUGGAAUUGAAAAAAAAAAUAUAUAUUUCCAACAUUAAUUCUUUUAUACUCAUAUUUUGAUUGAUUGUUUGAAUUUGGAAGUAAUUGUUUCUUGCCACUAGGUCCUACGCCUCAAGGAGCUAUGGCUUAACAAUAAUGUAGUAAGUAUUAUUGAAAGAAUUAUAGUUGGAAAUAUAUAUUUGAAAUCGAACUACCCAAAAUUUCGGUCUUAUACGGAAGAUUUAAAAAAUUAUAAAAAUAUGAAAAUCACAAAAACAUGACUGACACAAAUGACUCUUAUUCGAAAUAUUAAGGAAGGCUCAGAAUUUUAUUUGUUAUUUGUUAAUGAAGUUGUUUAUGAAAAUAAACAGAUUGUUUAAAAA
Molecule: long non-coding RNA, 842 nt
Organism: Aethina tumida (small hive beetle)
Lineage: Eukaryota; Metazoa; Arthropoda; Insecta; Coleoptera; Nitidulidae
Exons: 3
Source: RefSeq, a predicted model, not a curated record